UACGGGAGGCAGCAGUGGGGAAUAUUGGACAAUGGGCGAAAGCCUGGAUCCAGCCAUGCCGCGUGUGUGAAGAAGGUCUUCGGAUUGUAAAGCACUUUAAGUUGGGAGGAAGGGCAGUAAAUUAAUACUUUGCUGUUUUGACGUUACCGACAGAAUAAGCACCGGCUAACUCUGUGCCAGCAGCCGCGGU
This 190-nucleotide ribosomal RNA is filed under the name uncultured bacterium. Its description in RNAcentral is "partial 16S ribosomal RNA". It matches the Rfam family "Bacterial small subunit ribosomal RNA", at positions 340 to 521 of the family's 1533-position model. The record is from RNAcentral.